AGAGAGAGAGGAGAAGAGAGACGACCCCCACCCACAAAAUAAAAAUAAAACCCUAAAUCCCCAAAGCCAGAGAGAGUCUCUCUAAGUCGAAACCCUAGUUAGAUUUUGAUUACAUUACACACAUAUAUAGAUAUUGAUACACUCCUCCCACGCCCAGUGUCUGCUUCUCUUCUUUGAAUUGUGCCCUUUCUUUCUCGAACCUUCUCGAUCCGUCAAAAGCUUAAAGCUUUUCACUUUCCAGCUCCUCUGGCCCCAAUUUUGCCCUAAUUUUGAGAAUUUGGGGUUCAGUGACCGGAACCCCCAAUCCCGACGGGGGUCGUCAAGUUCGGUGGCGGUGUAUUCAGCAUUGGUUCUUGAAGCUGUUCUUGAAUCAGUCCAAUUGGGGUUUCGGGUUUCUGAAUUGGCGGGUUUGAUUUUGGGGUUUCGGUGCUCACCGGAGUCUGGGACCAGUAGGCGAACAGGAAGAAGAAGAAAGAGUUGGAAUUUACUAACUUGUCCUUCUUGAUCUGGUGUAGUACCAAUUGGAGGCCGACUCCGGAUUCAUGUCAGAGUUGGUAAGUGGCCACCAAUUAAUCAGACGCUGACCGAUGGAUCCUGAAGGAGCAAAGUUUGGAAGAGGACCAAGAGAGCUGACUGGUGCUGUAGAUCUCAUAAAUCAUUACAAAUUGCAUGCACACCAUGAGUUUUUCUGCAAGCGUUUGCUUCCUGUAUCAAUUUCAGACACACACUAUACCUACAAUGUGGUGGGAGACACAGAAAUCAGAAAAGGAGAUGGAAUGCAAUUGGAUCAACUUAUUCAGAGUACAUAUUCCAGGGAUACUAAACCUCGAAUACAGCCUUUUGACCUAGAUGUUCUCAGAGAGGCCUUCCAACUUAAAGAUACUGCUCCUAUUGAUUUGCCACCUGCAGAUAAGGGGACUCCAACUAUUGCCGGAAAAUCAAAGAGCGGGUCUAAAGAUAAGGAGAGGAAACACAAAAAGCACAGAGACAAAGACAGAGGCAAAGAUAAGGACAAAGAUAAAGAGCAUAAGAAGCACAAACACCGUCAUAAAGAUCGAAGUAAAGAUAAAGAAAAGGAGAAGAAAAAGGACAAACAUGAUUCGGGCGGUGAGCCCUCAAAGAAACAUGAGAAGAAAAGGAAACAUGAUGGGGAUGAAGAUCUUACUGAUGUUCAGAGACAGAAAAAAAGUAAGCAUAAGAGCUCAAAACCAGAUGAAGUUGGUGUGAUCAAGGUAGCUGGCUGAGUGUUGAAAAAUUUAGGUAUUUUGUUUUCUUCAAAUCGUUGUCGUUCAAAGUUUGGAGGGGCCUUUCAUCUGAUAUUAUUUUUCUUGAGUUUGCUGAGAUGGGUUGAAAUGCAGCGGGUGAGAAAAUAAUUGAUUUUGUGUGUUGGCCGUAUCAUGUAGGGGUGUGAUUUACAUUUAUGCACAAAUUAUGAAGUAUAUAAUAUGUAUUGGUUUCCUUCUCAUUGCAAGGGUGAAAGAAGGAAAAGUGUAGCAUGUGUAUUCAGUUAGAAAAUUGUGAUGCAUAUAUUUAUAGUCCAUUUUGUGGGGGAGAAGACAUUCCUUUUUUCAUUCUGCCAUAAUCUCAUCAAUCUGAGGACUAGCACGUGAUUAGGCUACAGCUCUUCUAAUUGUGAAUACCAUCACUAAUGUUUUUCCUUCAAGCACUUAGUCUAAUCAAUGUUCUAGUUUCUUUCAAGCAUUUUGUCUGUUUAUAAUACUAAAUUCUGCUCAUAUUUAUUACUUUGUAAUGCCAUAGACCUCGGUUUUUUUAUGACAACUAUUCCUUUUUGGGCUCUAGUUGGAUUGCUGUGAUGACUUGGCAUGAGGUUUGGAUACAUGAUAUAC
RNA transcript from Argentina anserina (silverweed cinquefoil), 1847 nucleotides. It is a transcript of the gene named mediator of RNA polymerase II transcription subunit 19a, with no coding region annotated. NCBI's taxonomy places the organism in Eukaryota, Viridiplantae, Streptophyta, Magnoliopsida, Rosales, Rosaceae. The record is from RefSeq and is a predicted model, not a curated record. The transcript is spliced from 7 exons.